UACGGGGGGAGCAAGCGUUGUUCGGAUUUACUGGGCGUAAAGGGCGCGUAGGCGGCCACGACAAGUCACUUGUGAAAUCUCCGGGCUUAACCCGGAACGGUCAAGUGAUACUGUCGGGCUAGAGUGCAGAAGGGGCAACUGGAAUUCUCGGUGUAGCGGUGAAAUGCGUAGAUAUCGAGAGGAACACCUGCGGCGAAGGCGGGUUGCUGGGCCGACACUGACGCUGAGGCGCGAAAGCCAGGGGAGCGAACGGG
Molecule: ribosomal RNA, 254 nt
Filed under: uncultured bacterium
Lineage: Bacteria
Description: partial 16S ribosomal RNA
Rfam family: Bacterial small subunit ribosomal RNA
Source: RNAcentral